UAAAUGUUUCAAAUAUACUUUACAUUGGAGCGCAUCUUUUCUCAGAAGCUAAGUAGGGUCAUGCCUGGUUAGUACUUGGAUGGGAGACAGCUACUGGAAAAGUUAGCAAAACAACUAA
This 118-nucleotide ribosomal RNA is filed under the name Saimiri boliviensis boliviensis (Bolivian squirrel monkey). The record is from RNAcentral. Lineage: Eukaryota; Metazoa; Chordata; Mammalia; Primates; Cebidae.